Small nuclear RNA from Dipodomys ordii (Ord's kangaroo rat), 102 nucleotides. The record is from Ensembl. NCBI's taxonomy places the organism in Eukaryota, Metazoa, Chordata, Mammalia, Rodentia, Heteromyidae.
AUGUUUCCAGAGCACAUACACUGAAAUUGGAAUAAUAUAGAGAGGACCAGCGUGGGUCUGUGCAAGGACAAUAUACAAACUCAUGAAGCAUUUCCUGUUUAA